Non-coding RNA from Tricholoma furcatifolium, 106 nucleotides. NCBI's taxonomy places the organism in Eukaryota, Fungi, Basidiomycota, Agaricomycetes, Agaricales, Tricholomataceae. The record is from the annotation of a GenBank genome assembly.
GGGGGCAUAGCUCAGCUGGGAGAGCAGCAGACUGAAGUACCGUCCACAAAACAUUGACACUCAUUCGUCAUUCUGAAGGUCCCGCGUUCAAUCCGCGGUGCCCCCA